GAUGAACGCUGGCGGCGUGCCUAAUACAUGCAAGUCGAACGAAGUCUUCGGACUUAGUGGCGAACGGGUGAGUAACACGUUGGUACCUACCCCGAAGUGGGGAAUAACUGCCCGAAAGGGUGGCUAAUACCGCAUAAUACCGCAAGGUUAAAGCAGUAAUGCGCUUCGGGAGGGGCCUGCGUCCCAUUAGCUAGUUGGUAGGGUAAUGGCCUACCAAGGCGACGAUGGGUAGCUGGAUCGAGAGGUGACCAGCCACACUGGGACUGAGAUACGGCCCAGACUCCUACGGGAGGCAGCAGUAAGGAAUCUUCCACAAUGGACGAAAGUCUGAUGGAGCAACGCCGCGUGCAGGAUGACGGCCUU
RNAcentral lists this ribosomal RNA (363 nucleotides) under uncultured bacterium. RNAcentral describes it as "bacterial SSU rRNA". It matches the Rfam family "Bacterial small subunit ribosomal RNA", at positions 28 to 418 of the family's 1533-position model. The record is from RNAcentral.